AGUACAUCACAUCAUCAGGGAUAGUGCAAUACUGCAAAAAUAUACUAGAGUCGGACUUUUAUCCUGGAAUCUUAGACGCUGGCGAAAUCGCGAGCGAAACGUAUCAUACACAUACAGGGCGAAUAACUUUUUUAUCGGAGCCAUGGCAGAGUGACCUCACUGCACCUGAUGACGGAAUACCUUCUUCAGAUCGAGUCAAAUUUUGCGUUGCAAUUCAAUUUUAAGCAAAUGUUUUUAUUAAAUUUCCUUAUUUGAUAUCGAUACAAGUGUUUGACGAAUUGCAAAUAAUGCAUCGGUAUAAAAGACGCGGCAACAGUCGAGGGAUCAUUCAAGUCGUCGACGAGAAAACAACCAACAUGAACCGUCUAGUGCU
Manduca sexta (tobacco hornworm) is the source of this 373-nucleotide long non-coding RNA. RefSeq lists it as uncharacterized. Lineage: Eukaryota; Metazoa; Arthropoda; Insecta; Lepidoptera; Sphingidae. The record is from RefSeq and is a predicted model, not a curated record. The transcript has 3 exons.